This is a non-coding RNA of Biomphalaria pfeifferi, 535 nucleotides long. NCBI's taxonomy places the organism in Eukaryota, Metazoa, Mollusca, Gastropoda, Planorbidae. The record is from the annotation of a GenBank genome assembly.
CACAUUUCUUCCACAAACGCUUGUAUCAACCCACACAUUUUAUCCACUUUUAGCCACUGAUUCAAUAAAUUAAAAAAUAAUACAAAGUUGCUUUGAAAAGAAAACUCCUUGGUUUCUAAACCAUAACAAAGUUUAUUGUGUUUAGUCCAGUCCAAUGAAUAGUCUCUUCUACUUCUGAGAUACAAAUUAUUGAACAAAGAAAAACUUGUUGGACCUCUAUAUCAAUAAAAACGUAUUAGACAAUGAAAAUCUGUAACUUAUUGGACCUUUGACAGAUCUUCAAUUGUGAAGUCACAUACAGAGUUCCUGAGUUCAGCAUACCUCAGCCUCUGUAGCCAAAAAUUCUUUUAUCACAGAAGGAGUGAAAACAAACAAGUAUACAUCAUGAGAGUAAGUCAGAGAUAAGUUUAUCAAAGCAGCAUUUGGAAUUUUCAUUAUUAUGUCCUCGUUAGGUCAUCUUUGGUGUUACAUAUAUGAUAUGUAUGAGAGUCUAUGGAAGAUCAAAGUUAAAUGGGGUUCCAAAUAUAACUCUAGU